This is a long non-coding RNA of Ctenopharyngodon idella (grass carp), 784 nucleotides long. RefSeq lists it as uncharacterized. The transcript has 3 exons. Lineage: Eukaryota; Metazoa; Chordata; Actinopteri; Cypriniformes; Xenocyprididae. The record is from RefSeq and is a predicted model, not a curated record.
AUUUGGGAUCAAAUAAAUGAGGAGCAGAAGAGACUUUUUUUUAAAAUAGGCUAUUCUGAUCUAAAACUUUUGAACAAAAAUCUCUUCAAAGCAGAUAUUUUUUCUGUUGUAUUUACAAAUCACUUAAUUUUAUUCAUGAAUUAUUAAUUAAUGUAUGUUAAGUAAGAUGUUCUCACUGACUCAUUUCAUUGACAGUGAGCUCAUUUAGGACCAUUAAAAAAAAAGUGUACUGCCCUCUUGUGGCCGACAGUGGGAUUUUGCAUGUCUCAUGCUGCUUGUCUGAACAGGCAGACUUGAGUGACCCCUAGUGGCCGCCUGAGCUUUGGGACCAUAAGUAAUUCCGCAUAUUCCACGUUUUGCUUGUGUGUGAACACGUAAAAGUUGUUUGGCUUGAGGGGAUCCAUGGUUCGUGUCCGGCCUGGUUCAUGUCCCGGCUUUACCCCGCUAUAAGAGGACUCGCAAAAUAACAUGUGCUUUUGCUUGAUGUAUCCAAAACAAAGAGGCAUGAGAUUUGGUUACAGCAGAAGAGUUCAUUUAGAGCUUGUUAACAUUCAGUUUUAAUAUGCGUUGGCAAAACAAAACCGAGUAAAAGAAAGGCAAAUGUUAUUAACCUAUUUAACACACUGCUUCUGUAGGUUAACAGGAAUGCACAACAAUAAAUAGGCCAUGUGUCACGGUAAAACUAGGCCAGUAGAACACUGAUGUCUAUAUGAAGAGGAAGUGCAGGAAUAUAUCCCAGGAUCUGAUGUAAAUUUGGAGUAGUGACACUAAGGAAGAGGUUUUA